AUACGAAAGGUGCAAGCGUUGUUCGGAUUUACUGGGCGUAAAGAGAGUGUAGGUUGUUUAUUAAGUCGGAUGUGAAAUCCCGGGGCUCAACCUCGGAACUGCAUUCGAUACUGGUAGACUAGAGUUCGGGAGGGGUAAGCGGAAUUCCGUGUGUAGCAGUGAAAUGCGUAGAUAUACGGAGGAACACCUGAGGCGAAGGCGGCUUACUGGACCGAUACUGACACUGAGACUCGAAAGCGUGGGGAGCGAACAGGAUUAGAAACCCCUGUAGUCC
RNAcentral lists this ribosomal RNA (274 nucleotides) under uncultured bacterium. RNAcentral describes it as "partial 16S ribosomal RNA". It matches the Rfam family "Bacterial small subunit ribosomal RNA", at positions 523 to 796 of the family's 1533-position model. The record is from RNAcentral.